AUUGAACGCUGGCGGCAUGCCUUACACAUGCAAGUCGAACGGUAACAGGUCUUCGGAUGCUGACGAGUGGCGAACGGGUGAGUAAUACAUCGGAACGUGCCUAGUAGUGGGGGAUAACCACUCGAAAGAGUGGCUAAUACCGCAUGAGAUCUACGGAUGAAAGCAGGGGAUCGCAAGACCUUGUGCUACUAGAGCGGCCGAUGGCAGAUUAGGUAGUUGGUGGGAUAAAAGCUUACCAAGCCGACGAUCUGUAGCUGGUCUGAGAGGACGAUCAGCCACACUGGGACUUGGACACGGUCCAGACUCCUACGGGGGGCAGCAGUGGGGAAUUUUGGACAAUGGGCGAAAGCCUGAUCCAGCAAUGCCGCGUGCAGGAUGAAGGCCUUCGGGUUGUAAACUGCUUUUGUACGGAACGAAAAGCCCUGGGUUAAUACCCUGGGGUCAUGACGGUACCGUAAGAAUAAGCACCGGCUAACUACGUGCCAGCCGCCGCGGUAA
Molecule: ribosomal RNA, 498 nt
Filed under: uncultured bacterium
Lineage: Bacteria
Description: partial 16S ribosomal RNA
Rfam family: Bacterial small subunit ribosomal RNA
Source: RNAcentral